This 21-nucleotide small nuclear RNA is filed under the name Arabidopsis thaliana (thale cress). RNAcentral's name for it is "snRNA_18877". The record is from RNAcentral. Lineage: Eukaryota; Viridiplantae; Streptophyta; Magnoliopsida; Brassicales; Brassicaceae.
UGUUGUUUACUUCAGGCUCUA